Molecule: ribosomal RNA, 2008 nt
Filed under: human gut metagenome
Description: bacterial LSU rRNA
Rfam family: Bacterial large subunit ribosomal RNA
Source: RNAcentral
CGAUAGUGAACCAGUACCGUGAGGGAAAGGCGAAAAGAACCCCUGUAAGGGGAGUGAAAUAGAAUCUGAAACCGCGUGCGUACAAGCAGUGGGAGCAAGCUUAGGCUUGUGACUGCGUACCUUUUGUAUAAUGGGUCAGCGAGUUAUCCGUAUUAGCGAGGUUAACCUAUAUGGGGGAGCCGCAGGGAAACCGAGUCUUAAAAGGGCGAGCAGUUGAUACGGGUAGACCCGAAACCGAGUGAUCUAGUCCUGGACAGGCUGAAAGCAGGGUAACACCUGCCGGAGGGCCGAACCUACUGUCGUUGCAAAGCCAGAGGAUGAUCUGGGACUAGGGGUGAAAGGCCAAUCAAACCCGGUGAUAGCUGGUUCUCCCCGAAAGCUAUUUAGGUAGCGCCCUGUUAAUUGGCGGAUGGGGGUAGAGCACUGUUACGGUAAGGGGUUGGGUUACCAACAGCCGAACCGUUGCAAACUGCGAAUACCAUCCAGUCUUAUACAGGUGACACACAGUGGGUGCUAACGUUCAUUGUGUAGAGGGAAACAACCCGGACCGCCAGCUAAGGUCCCAAAGUCCUGAUUAAGUGGGAAACGAUGUGGGAAGGCAUAGACAGCCAGGAUGUUGGCUUAGAAGCAGCCAUCAUUUAAAGAAAGCGUAAUAGCUCACUGGUCGAGUCGGCCUGCGCGGAAGAUGUAACGGGGCUCAAAUCAGGCACCGAAGCUGCGGAUUUGCACUUAUGUGCAAGUGGUAGGGGAGCGUUGUGUAAGUCUGUGAAGGAGAACGGGGACGUUUUCUGGAGAUAUCACAAGUGCGAAUGCUGACGCAAGUAACGAUAAAACGGAUUAAAAGUCCGUUCGCCGGAAGACCAAGGUUUCCUGUCCAACGUUAAACGGGGCAGGGUUAGUCGGUACCUAAGUUCAGGCUGAAAAGCGUAGACGACGGAUAACAGGUUAAUAUUCCUGUACCGCGUACAUUGCGAUGGGAUGACAGAGUAGGUAAGGCAAGGCGGACAACGGUUGUUCCGCUUCAAGGAUGUAGGUAGUAAGAGAGGUUAAAUGAUCUUUUACGAUGAUCUGAGAUCUGAUGUCCAAAAAGGUAUUCCUUUUAGGUUGCUCUCUCCACACUCUCAGGAAAAGUCCCUAAGCUUCAGAUGUACGUCGGCCGUACCCCAAACCGACACAGGUGGUCGGGUAGAAGAUACCAAGGCGCUUGGGAGAACCCGGGUGAAGGAACUAGGCAAAAUUGUACCGUAACUUCGGGAGAAGGUACGCUGAAGUGAGUGUAAAGAUUUACUCUUGAAGCUUACUUCAGCCGCAGAUAAAUGGCGGCUGGGACUGUUUAACAAAAACACAGCACUCUGCUAACCUGAAAGGGGAUGUAUAGGGUGUGACACCUGCCCGGUGCCGGAAGGUUAAAUGAUGAGGUGAGUUUUUUUACGAAGCCUCUGAGUGAAGCCCCGGUAAACGGCGGCCGUAACUAUAACGGUCCUAAGGUAGCGAAAUUCCUUGUCGGGCAAGUUCCGACCUGCACGAAUGGUGUAACCAUGGCCGCGCUGUCUCCACCCGGGACCCAGUGAAACCGAAAUCGCUGUGAAGAUGCAGUGUACCCGCGGCUAGACGGAAAGACCCCGUGAACCUUUACUGCAGCUUGACACUGAACCUUGAACCUGUUUGCGCAGGAUAGGCGGGAGGCAUUGAAGAGAAGUUUCAGGACUUCUCGGAGCCGUUGGUGAAAUACCGCCCUGACAGUUUUGAGGUUCUAACUUGUGACUCACAUCAGAGGACAGUGUCUGGCGGGAAGUUUGACUGGGGCGGUCUCCUCCCAAAGAGUAACGGAGGAGCACGAAGGUCGGCUGAUCACGGUCGGAAACCGUGAGAUCAGUGUAAUGGCAUAAGCCGGCUUGACUGCAAGAGGUACAUCUCGAGCAGGUGCGAAAGCAGGUCAUAGUGAUCCGGUGGUCCCAUAUGGACGGGCCAUCGCUCAACGGAUAAAAGGUACUCUGGGGAUAACAGG